GAGGGUAUAGCUCAGUCGUAAAGUGCACGCCUAGCAUACCUGAGGUCCUGGGUUCAAUCCCCAGUGCCUCCA
Molecule: transfer RNA, 72 nt
Filed under: Camelus bactrianus (Bactrian camel)
Lineage: Eukaryota; Metazoa; Chordata; Mammalia; Artiodactyla; Camelidae
Also listed under: 2 other names
Rfam family: tRNA
About the family: Transfer RNA (tRNA) molecules are approximately 80 nucleotides in length.
Source: Rfam by way of RNAcentral